Antechinus flavipes (yellow-footed antechinus) is the source of this 3417-nucleotide long non-coding RNA. RefSeq lists it as uncharacterized. The record is from RefSeq and is a predicted model, not a curated record. NCBI's taxonomy places the organism in Eukaryota, Metazoa, Chordata, Mammalia, Dasyuromorphia, Dasyuridae. The transcript has 7 exons.
AAGAAGGAAGGGAGAAAAGGGAAGAGAGGCAAGAAGGAAGAGAGGGAUGAAGAAGGGAAGGAAGGAGGGAGAAAGGAAGGAAGGAGGAAGGAAGAAGAGGAGGGAGGAGGGAAGAGAAGAAGAGAGAGAAGGAAGGAAGGGAGGGAGAAAGGGAAAGAGAAGUCCCGAAAAGGACAAGGAAAAGAUAUGAGGACAUACACUCUCAAUUCGGACUGAGCUAAGGAGCUCUAGACCAUAGCCAAGGGUGGUCCCCAUCCCCAAAGUAAACAAAUACUUGCUGCUUGUUGCUCGCGGUAAAGCCGAGCGAGGGGCAGCUGCAGGCGGCCUCUGGACCGCAGCACAUUCCGGGAUAAGCUGACAGUCCGGGGUCGCCUUGACUGGGAGGGAGCCCUGAAGGUGGCUCUCCCACACCAGUGGGGUGUCCCCUUGACCGUUCGGACACAUAGGAAGGCUCCACUGAGGAACUGUGGGCACUCCCUGCCCGGGCUUUGCAAGGGAGGGGUUAAAGCUGCUGCAGGGACUGGUGAGAGGGGAGGCCUCUGGUCCCGAUGAUUCCAGAACUCGGGCUCAGAAGCUGCCCAGACGUAUUCGGGGGCGUCACUUAGAGCUCCCACAGUUACCGGGAGGGGCCGCCAGGCCGGGGGUCUUGGUGCAUUUUGGGGUCCGGAGCAAUAGGCGGCCGGCGGGAUACAAAAUGACCCCACACACACACACACACACACAAUAGUGGAGGUGCUCGUUGUCAGGAAUAGCCCCUCAAACAACCCCACCGGGAGGACGCCUGAGCAGAUCCCGGGGGCUGCGCAUGAGCGCUGAGCCGGGCCAGCUCCCUCCUACCCCUGUGUCGGGGGUCAAGCCCGACGGCUCCGGGGCGGGCGGCUUCUGGCCUCUCGGGCCAGGGUGGGGGGAGCUGGAAGCCGGGUUGGAAAACAGCGGGAAGCGUUCCCCGCACAACGAGGAGUUCGGGUGGGAGCACUGAGAGGAGAAACUGGGGGGGGGGGAGAAGGACCCACACAUUUUAUUUCCCUGCCUGAAAGGAAACGAGGGUUUCCACGGGGGUCUCUUAUCACACCCACGGGUCCUCUUUUCAGGUUUACAGACUGGAGCUGGAGAUUGGGCAGUAGGAGAAACAUCUCUUGUUAUACAGGUUUGGCAGCUUUAGACAAUGGCCCACAUUCACCUGGGGAGCAUUCCAAGCCCGGCGUCGCCCGCGCCGGAGAAUCAGCCGGACGAUAAACGAGACAGCACACGACUGCCAACGAACCUCAAAGGUACACCAGUGGAUCACUCCUGGGGUAACAAACACUGAUGAGAAAACGGGAAAUGAUACCCAUACAGAGCCGCGCUGGGACGGCCCUCCAGCCAGAAGAGAGAACAUCCUUUCUUUUCCUGUUGAGAACCAGCAAGCACCGAGUCGUCACAUUAAGAGCUGUUGAAGAUAAUCAGUCUUGUAUGGCCAAAAAGAUCCAGAAUAACUCAAGGACUGGGUUCAAAGGAGGACUUGCCUUUUUGAAAAGAUUCAGUAGGGUUUUCUGCUAGCCAGCCUAGCAGGUCUCCACUUUGAACAAUAAAAACUAUUCUCUGCUUCUCAGAGAUUACUGAAGUGAAAAGAACUAUUAGCCCCUGAGGCACUGUUUGCAAGACUGAUUCAGCUGUACAGUUAGGAUUCAACGAAUGAGAAAAAUACAAUCACUACAUUUGUGAAUGUGGAAGACCACUGGCUCCAAUCUGAAUUUAAGCCUAUACUCUGCAAUAUAAGUGCCAAGUGGUCAUCAAACCUUUGAUGGAGGACUUCUAGCUAGGAGGAAUCUACUUCCUCUUGAGAAUUCUUCACUGUUUGGAAGAUUCCUUCAAAGAUGGCUCAAGUUGAGCCCGUCCUGUGAUCUCACUCUGCUUUGUAGUCCACCACAACCAGGACAUCAGACAAUAAUCAGAGGGAUUUGUUGUACUAGCUAGGAUCUUCUCUGAACUUCAACUGACCCAACCAUGAGUCUGAGUAGUCUCAGUCACAGGGGUGGGAAAGUCUGUUGGGCAAAGAUUUUGGUCUAAAGCAGUGGGAAAAACACUGGAUUUGGACUCAGAACAUAAAGUUUUGAAUUCUAUCUCUGCCAUUCUGGGGAAAAUCACUUAGCUUUAGUGUAAAGUCCCUUCCAUUUCCAAAACUAUAAUUUUAUUUUCUCUAAGGUUCCUUCUAGUUAAAAAUCUUACAACCCCUCUCUUGCCUUCUCUAGACAUUCAUUACCAUCUCUCCAAGUUUCUUCACUUAGGAGAAAAGGUUUUUUCCCCCUAUAUUAAAGCUUUUUAUUUCUAAAACAUAUAUAUAGAUAAUUUUCAACAUUCACCUCUGUAAAACUUGUGUUCCAAAAUUUUUUUCCUUUCCUUCCUCCCACCCCUUUCCCUAGACAUCAAGUGAUCCAAUAUAUGUUAAACAUGUGCAAUUCUUCUAUGCAUAUUUCCACAAUUAUCAUGCUGCACAAGAAAAAUAAGAUCACAAAGGAAAAAAAUGAGAAAGAAAACAAAACACAAGCAAACAAUAACAAAAAGAGUAAAAUAAUACAUUGUGAUCCACACUCUGUCCCCACUGUUCUCUCUCUGGGUGCAGAUGGCUCUCUUCAUCACAAGAUCAUUGGAACUGGCCUGAAACAUCUCAUAUUGAAAAGAGCCAUGUUUGUUAGAAUUGAUCAUUAUAUAGUCUUCUUGUUGCCAUGUAUAAUGAUCUCCUGGUCCUGCUCAUUUCACUCAGCAUCAGUUCCUGUAAGUUUCUCCAAGCCUUUCUGAAAUCAUCCUGCUGGUCAUUUCUUAAAGAACAAUAAUAUUCCAUAAUAUUCAUGUACCACAAUUUAUUCAGCCAUUCUCCAACUGAUGGGCAUCUACUCAAUUUCCAGUUCCUUUCCACUACUAAAAGAGCUGCCACAAACAUUUUUGUAUACAUAGGUCCUUUUCCUUUAUGAUCUCUUUGGGAUACAGACUCAAUAGAGACAUUGCUGGAUCAAAGGCACAGUUUGAUAGCCUAUUGGGCAGAGUUCCAGAUUGCUCUCCAGAAUGCUUGGAUCAGUUCAUAACUCCACCAACAAUGUAUCAGUGUCCCAGUUUUCCCACAUCCCUUCCAACAUUCAUCAUUAUCUUUUCCUGUCAUCUUAGCCAAUCUAAGAGGUGGGUAGUGGUACCUCAGAGAUGUCUUAAUUUGCAUUUGUCUGAUAAUGACUUAGAGCAUUUUUUAAUAUGAUUAUAAAUGGUUUUAAUUUCUUCAUCUGAAAAUUGUCUGUUAAUAUCCUUUGACCAUUUAACAAUUGGAGAAUGGCUUGAAUUCUUAUAAAUUUGAAUCAAUUUUCGAUAUAUUUUAGAAAUGAGGCCUUUAUCAGAACCCUUGGAUAUAAAUAUUUUUGGGAAAAGGUUUUUAUUCCUUGUUUCUUCCAG